CAAGCCCUAGGCGUAUGCAGGUAUUCUGUGAAACUGGAAUGUGGAUUGUUUCUGUUUUUCCAUGGUGGAGGGGGGAAUAAGAGUAGGUAGACAGAAGGGGAAUUUUCUCUGAUGAACUUGUGGUCAUUUUCCGGUGGUGGUAUUCGUUUCCUUCAUAUCUUUGGCGGUAAUCGGGUUGUAUAAAAUAAUUGGCACGAACCGAUGUCGUGUCAUAUUCCUUUCGAAUGUCCUUCCAACCCAAAUGUUGACGGAGGGUGUACGUUAAAAUGCUUUAUGUGGGUUUUUGUUAAUCGCCCUAUGCAUUUUUACGCAUCUCGAAAUUUUUUUUUUCCGAUAAUUAAUCAAACUUGCGAACGUAGGGCAAAUUCGAAGCGAUGGUAAAUGUUUCGUUAACUUAGAUCACAAGUAAUGGUGGUUUUUCGGGUUUUUGUGCAAAAGAUCUUCCGAUCCGACCUUUUUGGUCAUUUGAUUUUGGAUCCAGCGAUCUGUCUCUCGAAGGUUUGACAAAAACGAAAAAGCUCUUAAACGUCGUACCAUGUGGACUCGAGAAUUCCUAACCCUAGAUACCUUUGUGAAAGGAAAAUAAAAGAGAAUACCAAAAAUGCUUUCUGCGUGAGCGUAAGCAUUUCGCCCAAAAGAAGAGAAAUGCUAAUGCUAAGGAGAUUUUCGUAAAGUGAGAUUUUUUUUUAACUCUAUGGUUCUCACGGGUGUCAAAAUUUUGAUGGUAGUCGUUGCGUAUUUCUCACUCUUCAUCUCCUU
Molecule: long non-coding RNA, 759 nt
Filed under: Malus domestica (apple)
Lineage: Eukaryota; Viridiplantae; Streptophyta; Magnoliopsida; Rosales; Rosaceae
Description: long non-coding RNA (MDOM_LNC020375)
Source: RNAcentral